RNAcentral lists this ribosomal RNA (1104 nucleotides) under Streptomyces champavatii. Its description in RNAcentral is "bacterial SSU rRNA". It matches the Rfam family "Bacterial small subunit ribosomal RNA", at positions 370 to 1487 of the family's 1533-position model. Lineage: Bacteria; Bacillati; Actinomycetota; Actinomycetes; Kitasatosporales; Streptomycetaceae. The record is from RNAcentral.
AAUGGGCGAAGCCUGAUGCAGCGACGCCGCGUGAGGGAUGACGGCCUUCGGGUUGUAAACCUCUUUCAGCAGGGAAGAAGCGAGAGUGACGGUACCUGCAGAAGAAGCGCCGGCUAACUACGUGCCAGCAGCCGCGGUAAUACGUAGGGCGCAAGCGUUGUCCGGAAUUAUUGGGCGUAAAGAGCUCGUAGGCGGCUUGUCACGUCGGUUGUGAAAGCCCGGGGCUUAACCCCGGGUCUGCAGUCGAUACGGGCAGGCUAGAGUUCGGUAGGGGAGAUCGGAAUUCCUGGUGUAGCGGUGAAAUGCGCAGAUAUCAGGAGGAACACCGGUGGCGAAGGCGGAUCUCUGGGCCGAUACUGACGCUGAGGAGCGAAAGCGUGGGGAGCGAACAGGAUUAGAUACCCUGGUAGUCCACGCCGUAAACGGUGGGCACUAGGUGUGGGCAACAUUCCACGUUGUCCGUGCCGCAGCUAACGCAUUAAGUGCCCCGCCUGGGGAGUACGGCCGCAAGGCUAAAACUCAAAGGAAUUGACGGGGGCCCGCACAAGCGGCGGAGCAUGUGGCUUAAUUCGACGCAACGCGAAGAACCUUACCAAGGCUUGACAUACACCGGAAACGUCUGGAGACAGGCGCCCCCUUGUGGUCGGUGUACAGGUGGUGCAUGGCUGUCGUCAGCUCGUGUCGUGAGAUGUUGGGUUAAGUCCCGCAACGAGCGCAACCCUUGUCCCGUGUUGCCAGCAGGCCCUUGUGGUGCUGGGGACUCACGGGAGACCGCCGGGGUCAACUCGGAGGAAGGUGGGGACGACGUCAAGUCAUCAUGCCCCUUAUGUCUUGGGCUGCACACGUGCUACAUGGCCGGUACAAUGAGCUGCGAUACCGUGAGGUGGAGCGAAUCUCAAAAAGCCGUCUCAGUUCGGAUUGGGGUCUGCACUCGACCCAUGAAGUCGGAGUCGCUAGUAUCGCAAAUCAGCAUUGCUGCGGUGAAUACUUUCCCGGGCCUUGUACACACCGCCCGUCACGUCAGAAAGUCGGUACACCCUGAAGCCCGUGGUCCAACCCUUGUGGGAGGGAGCUGUGAAGGGGGACUGGCCAUCGGGACAAGUC